This 468-nucleotide ribosomal RNA is filed under the name uncultured bacterium. Its description in RNAcentral is "partial 16S ribosomal RNA". It matches the Rfam family "Bacterial small subunit ribosomal RNA", at positions 28 to 507 of the family's 1533-position model. The record is from RNAcentral.
GACGAACGCUGGCGGCGUGCUUAACACAUGCAAGUCGAACGGAAAGGCCCUGCUUUUGUGUGGUGCUCGAGUGGCGAACGGGUGAGUAACACGUGAGUAACCUGCCCUGGACUUUGGGAUAACUUCAGGAAACUGGGGCUAAUACCGGAUAGGAGCUCCUGCUGCAUGGUGGGGGUUGGAAAGUUUCGGCGGUUGGGGAUGGACUCGCGGCUUAUCAGCUUGUUGGUGGGGUAGUGGCUUACCAAGGCUUUGACGGGUAGCCGGCCUGAGAGGGUGACGGGCCACAUUGGGCCUGAGAUACGGCCCAGACUCCUACGGGAGGCAGCAGUGGGGAAUAUUGCACAAUGGGCGGAAGCCUGAUGCAGCAACGCCGCGUGCGGGAUGACGGCCUUCGGGUUGUAAACCGCUUUCGCCUGUGACGAAGCGUGAGUGACGGUAAUGGGUAAAGAAGCACCGGCUAACUACGUG